GGGGAUGUAGCUCAGAGUUAGAGCGCAUUCUUACCAAAUGCAAGGCCCUGGGCUCAAUCCCCAGCAACUCCC
This 72-nucleotide transfer RNA is filed under the name Ictidomys tridecemlineatus (thirteen-lined ground squirrel). RNAcentral describes it as "Spermophilus tridecemlineatus (thirteen-lined ground squirrel) tRNA". It matches the Rfam family "tRNA". From Rfam's summary of the family: Transfer RNA (tRNA) molecules are approximately 80 nucleotides in length. Their secondary structure includes four short double-helical elements and three loops (D, anti-codon, and T loops). Lineage: Eukaryota; Metazoa; Chordata; Mammalia; Rodentia; Sciuridae. The record is from Rfam by way of RNAcentral.